Molecule: ribosomal RNA, 497 nt
Filed under: uncultured bacterium
Lineage: Bacteria
Description: partial 16S ribosomal RNA
Rfam family: Bacterial small subunit ribosomal RNA
Source: RNAcentral
GAUGAACGCUGGCGGCGUGCCUAAUACAUGCAAGUCGAGCGAACAGACGAGGAGCUUGCUCCUCUGACGUUAGCGGCGGACGGGUGAGUAACACGUGGAUAACCUACCUAUAAGACUGGGAUAACUUCGGGAAACCGGAGCUAAUACCGGAUAAUAUAUUGAACCGCAUGGUUCAAUAGUGAAAGACGGUUUUGCUGUCACUCAUAGAUGUAUCCGCGCCGCAUUAGCUAGUUGGUAAGGUAACGGCUUACCAAGGCAACGAUGCGUAGCCGACCUGAGAGGGUGGUCGGCCACACUGGAACUGAGACACGGUCCAGACUCCUACGGGAGGACGCAGUAGGGAAUCUUCCGCAAUGGGCGAAAGCUUGACGGAGCAACGCCGCGUGAGUGAUGAAGGUCUUCGGAUCGUAAAACUCUGUUAUUAGGGAAGAACAAAUGUGUAAGUAACUAUGCACGUCUUGACGGUACCUAAUCAGAAAGCCACGGCUAACUACGUG